Molecule: non-coding RNA, 99 nt
Filed under: Bacillus thermozeamaize
Lineage: Bacteria; Bacillati; Bacillota; Bacilli; Caryophanales; Bacillaceae
Description: c-di-GMP sequence
Rfam family: c-di-GMP-I riboswitch aptamer
About the family: GEMM was predicted in a large-scale screen for bacterial structured RNA regulatory elements. Genes associated with GEMM are involved in a diverse array of functions, including chemotaxis regulation, signal transduction, secretion and chitin.
Source: RNAcentral
UGAUUGUCAGGGCAAACCAUGCGAAAGCAUGGGACGCAAAGCUACGGGUCUAAAGGGCGCCAGUUCAUGUUGCUGCCUCAUGAUCGCCGGGCUGCAGGC